RNAcentral lists this transfer RNA (24 nucleotides) under Dicranum tauricum. Its description in RNAcentral is "partial tRNA-Thr". RNAcentral also lists the same sequence under 1 other name. The record is from RNAcentral. Lineage: Eukaryota; Viridiplantae; Streptophyta; Bryopsida; Dicranales; Dicranaceae.
UCGGUUUGACUCCGAUAGCGGGCU